UGGCGAAGGGGUCGUCCACCCAAGUGGCUUUCGUGAAAUUCUUCCCCAAUCAUUUCUGCCACAAUCCCUUCCCCUGUGCUCAAGACCUUUCAUGCCUCGCCUACACGCUGUGCCUGGGUGUGAUGCUGGGGUUCGAACCCUCGUGCUUUGUGCAGGCUUUGGCAAGAGCUCGGCCGCAGAGCUGCAUCUCUACACUGCACUCCAGCUAAAGGGGCUGGCUGGCUGUGAACCUUUCAAGGAGUAACCGAUGCUAUAGUAAUGAAGCGGUGAAGACUGAUUGGAGAGGGGGUCAGGAGCUCCAUGAGGGGACACGCGGAGAGGUGGGAGAGCUAGCUGUGUGUGACUAGACUCCUCUGGACUCUUCCUUCCCAGUCAAAGUCUGACCCACAUGCCAACAGAGAAAGUUGGGUAGGUGGGUGAAUGAGUGUUGGGGGCUGCAGAGAGCUGAUUCUGAAUCCCUCACAGGAAGUAGAAAAUGAGGAAGACUGGAGGAAGGCUCCAACCACCAUUUGAAGCAAAAAGGAUUUUAAAGGAUUAUGUAUUUAAAAGUCAUGGAAUGUAAGAGUUUGAGAACUCCUUUCACCUCUCAACCAGGCAGCUAAAAAUUGAUGAAUUCCUCCUGCCAUCCCUCACAUGAUGAGACUGUUAGUACUUCAUAGAAGAUGGAGAUGUGGGAUCCCCCCUCCCCGCAACUGAAUGAAAAACAAGACUCAAGCCCAGACUUGAAUUGCCACCCCUCACCAAGAGCUCCUAAACUUUCAGGGGGUCUCUGCCUAACAGUGAGAAAAUCAAGCCCUCUCCUUUACAGAUUCCAGCCCUCCAGCAUUCUGAAAUAGAAACUCUCUAGUUGAUUUUUUAAAAUACAGACGUUGCCAUGGAAACAUACUGUUAAAAAAAUAACAUAAAUGAAUUAUAAACAUUCAAGUAUUUCUAAAGGUUUGCAUAAAAACAGCAGCAAUUAAAUUUUUUAAAAAAAUGUAAA
Molecule: long non-coding RNA, 982 nt
Organism: Jaculus jaculus (lesser Egyptian jerboa)
Lineage: Eukaryota; Metazoa; Chordata; Mammalia; Rodentia; Dipodidae
Exons: 2
Source: RefSeq, a predicted model, not a curated record